This 253-nucleotide ribosomal RNA is filed under the name uncultured bacterium. RNAcentral's name for it is "partial 16S ribosomal RNA". It matches the Rfam family "Bacterial small subunit ribosomal RNA", at positions 524 to 776 of the family's 1533-position model. The record is from RNAcentral.
UACGGAGAUGGCAAGCGUUGCUCGGAAUCACUGGGCAUAAAGGGCGUCUAGGCGGAUCGACAAGUCGGCUGUGAAAGUCCUCGGCUCACCCGAGGAAGUGCAGCCGAAACUGGCGGUCUUGAGGACGAGAGGGGAGAGUGGAACUCCUGGUGGAGCGGUGAAAUGCGUAGAUAUCAGGAGGAACGCCGGUGGCGAAAGCGACUCUCUGGCUCGUUCCUGACGCUGAAGCGCGAAAGCUAGGGGAGCGAACGGG